CCCGAGUAGCUGGGACUACAAGCGUGUGCCACCACGCCUGGAAAACAACAACAGUAACAACAACAAAAACUCAAGAAACAGGAAUGCAAGCUCUACAUUUUGUUAAACUAAGGACAUUUCUUACUCGUAACAAUCAGAUAUAAAAAAGUGCUGCCACAGGGGCAAGAAUGAUGCUCAGAAGGUCUUUAAUGGCUACAAAUCUUGGAUUAAGCUGACUGAGCAGUUCUUACACCGAGAAGCAAAACAACAACCUUUUGUUUCAAGAAACAGGUGCAUCAUGCUAAUGCCUAUAUGUUUAUUCCUGCUACCUCCAAUAGUUCACUGAUAAUUCAGAUUCAGACCAAUGGAGAAACCAUGGGAGGAAAAAAACAAACUUUUACUCUGAGUAAGUAACACCAUUAAAAUCAAGUUUGCAAAUAAAAAUUAAAUAUAAUUUAAAGUAUUUCCUGCCAAGCACUUCAAAAAUGUAAUCUUUAGUACAUUUUGAGGUAGCAAGCAUUUUUUAAAACUGUAGUUAGUAAAUUAAAGCUAAAAUAAAAUUUUAAAAGAGCCUGUUUCCACCAUGUUGUAAAUGGAAGUUAUUAUAAUUCAAUAUUAGAUAUGAAUCAGUUAAUUCUACCUCAGCCAAAGCUCUGAUAUUUUAGAGAACAGCAGAUGUUACCCUUUCUAGUACCCCAUUAAUAUACCUAGUCAGUUUUUCCACUAUUAUCCCUCGGGCAGAGAAUAAAGGCAUAUUUUCUUUUCUGUUUCUUAAGCAAACCCACUUGCUCCCU
This 773-nucleotide long non-coding RNA is filed under the name Homo sapiens (human). Its description in RNAcentral is "HSALNT0376573". Lineage: Eukaryota; Metazoa; Chordata; Mammalia; Primates; Hominidae. The record is from RNAcentral.